UCUGACUUCAGAAACUUACAGUUUUGGAGGCAGCUGGGUGGCUCAGUGAAUUGAGAGUCAGGCUUAGCCAUCCUAGGUUCAAAUCUGGCUUCAGAUACUUCCCAGCUGUGUGACCCUGGGCAAGUCACUUAACCCCCAUUGCCUAGCCCUUACCACUCUUCUGCCUUGGAGCCAAUACACAGUAUUGAUUCUAUGACAGAAGGUAAGGGUUUUAAAAAAAAAGGAAGAAAGAAAAAAGAAACUUACAGCUUGUGACCUUGGGAAAGUCACUUAGCUUGGUUUGCCUCAGUUUCUUCAUCUACAAAAUGAGCUGGAAAAGGAAAUGGCAAACCACUCUGGUAUCUUUCCAAGAAAACCCCAAAUGGGGUCAAAGAGGUGAACACAACUGAGCAACAAUGAAGACUUAUGGAGCCAGUAUGUGUCAGAAAUAUGACUUGGACACAGAUCCCAUUAUUCUAGCUCCAGAUCUAAGCCAGGACAAGAAAAGAAGGGGCUUGAGCAGCCCCUGAAAAGGCUCGGAGUGGAGGGGAUUCACUCCAGCUCUCUGUGGCAGGUAAGAGGCCUUUGGCAAAGGACAAUGGUGGUUCCCUGGAUAGUGUGCUGAGAUGCCCAGAUGACAUAUGAAAUAGACCUCACCAGGCAGGGAUAUCCUGGAUAAAGGACAAAUAUUAUGUAGAGGACAAAAUGGAGUUUAUUGACCCCUCCACUGGGCUCAAAUUACUCAGAAUAUUUUUACAUCUCAAAUUAUAAGAAAAAGGGGGCGUGAAGUUCACAGAAUCACAGAAUGUCGAAAUUAAG
RNAcentral lists this long non-coding RNA (798 nucleotides) under Monodelphis domestica (gray short-tailed opossum). RNAcentral's name for it is "lncRNA (ENSMODG00000030925.2)". The record is from RNAcentral. Lineage: Eukaryota; Metazoa; Chordata; Mammalia; Didelphimorphia; Didelphidae.